CAGACUUGCAAGACGUGAUUUUGUAG
Molecule: non-coding RNA, 26 nt
Filed under: Cricetulus griseus (Chinese hamster)
Lineage: Eukaryota; Metazoa; Chordata; Mammalia; Rodentia; Cricetidae
Source: RNAcentral